Molecule: unclassified non-coding RNA, 215 nt
Filed under: soil metagenome
Description: partial contains 5.8S ribosomal RNA, internal transcribed spacer 2, and large subunit ribosomal RNA
Source: RNAcentral
AACCAUAGAAACCUGCGGAGUACCUGCGGAAGGAUCAUUACAAGUGACCCCGGUCUAACCACCGGGAUGUUCAUAACCCUUUGUUGUCCGACUCUGUUGCCUCCGGGGCGACCCUGCCUUCGGGCGGGGGCUCCGGGUGGACACUUCAAACUCUUGCGUAACUUUGCAGUCUGAGUAAACUUAAUUAAUAAAUUAAAACUUUCAACAACGGAUCU